GAGUACAAUUUACAUCUCUUCACGAGGAUCAAUUGGAGGGCAAGUCUGGUGCCAGCAGCCGCGGUAAUUCCAGCUCCAAUAGCGUAUAUUAAAGUUGUUGCAGUUAGAACGCUCGUAGUCGGAUUUCGGGGCGGGCCGACCGGUCUGCCGAUGGGUACGCACUGGUCGGCGCGUCCUUCCUUCCGGAGACCGUGCCUACUCUUAACUGAGCGGGGGCGGGAGACGGAACGUUUACUUUGAAAAAAUCAGAGUGUUUCAAGCAGGCAGCUCGCUCUUGCAUGGAUUAGCAUGGGAUAAUGAAAUAGGACUUUGGUGCUAUUUUGUUGGUUUCGAACACCGAAGUAAUGAUGAGAAGGGACAGUCAGGGGCACUCGUAUUCCGCCGAGAGAGGUGAAAUUCUCAGACCAGCGGAAGACGAACCACUGCGAAAGCAUUUGCCAGGGAUGUUUUCACUGAUCAAGAACGAAAGUUAGGGGAUCGAAGACGAUCAGAUACCGUCGUAGUCUUAACCAUAAACCAUGCCGACUAGGGAUUGGGGGAUGUUCACAUAUUGACUCCCUCAGCACCUUACGGGAAACUAAAGUCUUUGGGUUCCGGGGGGAGUAUGGUCGCAAGGCUGAAACUUAAAGGAAUUGACGGAAGGGCGCCACCAGGUGUGGAGCCUGCGGCUUAAUUUGACU
Molecule: ribosomal RNA, 680 nt
Filed under: uncultured eukaryote
Lineage: Eukaryota
Description: SSU rRNA
Rfam family: Eukaryotic small subunit ribosomal RNA
Source: RNAcentral